Aphis gossypii (cotton aphid) is the source of this 524-nucleotide long non-coding RNA. RefSeq lists it as uncharacterized. Lineage: Eukaryota; Metazoa; Arthropoda; Insecta; Hemiptera; Aphididae. The record is from RefSeq and is a predicted model, not a curated record. The transcript is spliced from 3 exons.
GCCGGAUCACGCAUUUCAGGCUCACCGAGCUGCCCUCCAUCACAUGGAUAUCCGACUCGCCCAUGAUCUCAAUCUUUGGCACUGUUGGAUGAAAAGAGUCAUUAGAGUUGUGUUGGGUUUUCAAUGCACGCGAUAUACCAUAAUCGUUUAAACACCAACAUUAUCGAUAGAUAUGAAGAGAUAAAAUAUUUUUUUUGAAUAUAUUAUGUAAUUCUAAUUUAGAAAGUGAACGAAAAUUCGUUUGAUCGUAAUGUAUUAAUAGAAUAAUUACACUUUGUUAUAAAAUACAUGAAUUUGACUUUUAAUUAAAUUCGAUUACAGUAUUCGUAUCCAAAUUGUUAUUUUAAUGCUGAAAUGUAAUUAAAAUACACAAUAACAAUGAUAUUGCGGGUAUGUAUUAUAUUCAUACACCUACAUACAUGUAUCGGUCCUUACUUGGCUUUUGUAAGUUACAAAUUAUGACAUUUGGUUAUUAAUAAAUGACAUAAUAUAUAUUAACUUAAAAAUAUGUUUUUUAGGCUUGA